Molecule: RNA transcript, 1641 nt
Organism: Benincasa hispida (wax gourd)
Lineage: Eukaryota; Viridiplantae; Streptophyta; Magnoliopsida; Cucurbitales; Cucurbitaceae
Gene name: plant/protein
Source: RefSeq, a predicted model, not a curated record
UAAGAAAUUGUCAAAGACCAACGAUCAGCGAGAGAAGCUCCAUAGACGCCGUCUCAGGAGAUGUGGCGAACUUUUAAGGUGGAGACGAAGCGGGUCCCCUAUCAUUCUCCUUUGAUUUUCACAUUUUCCUCUUUUCAAGCCAAGAUCUGUUGUCGUCAUCAACGAAUACGAAGAUUCAAACUGGAACCGUCUUCAAAUUCCUUUUCCUCUUCCAUAAUCCUUCACAUUUUCCCAUUUUCUGUCUCUGAUGCUGUUCGAAGCUACUGGUGAUGCAACGACCCUCUCUUACUGGUUAAACUGGAGGGUAUUACUCUGUGCAAUUUGGGUAUUAGCUUCUUUUACCUUUGCACUAUGGAUGAUAUGGAAAUAUGAAGUUAAGGAUAGAUUAGGACACAGCAGACAAGAAACUCAGCAAGAUAAAAACAAACUUCGGAGUUGUGAAGUUUGGACACCAUGUCUCAAACAAAUUCAUCCAAUUUGGUUAUUGGCUUUUCGAGUUUGUGCGUUCGGUCUGAUGCUGGCUUCACUAAUUGUGAAGGCUUUGGUUAACGGGACUUCCAUGUUUUAUUAUUAUACCCAGUGGACAUUUACUUUACUUACAAUAUAUUUUCUGUGUGGGUCAGUGAUUUCCAUAUAUGGAGUUUUUCUCUGUAACAGGAAAAGGACCGAAGAAGCUGAGAAUGGGAUGGAAGAAGGGCAACAUGUUCCACUUCUUUCUGGGAAGCCAUCAAAUUUAAUUGGGGGAAAUAUCGUUUCGUAUUCCAAGGAAAAAAGCUUUUCUUUGACGGCUGUCAACAUCUGGAGUUAUAUUCUUGAAGUUUUAUUCCAGAUUAAUGCAGGGGCAGUUGUACUCACUGAUUGCACUUAUUGGUUUGUCAUAUUUCCAUUUCUUACCAUCAAAGACUACAAUUUGAGCUUUAUGACGAUCAAUAUGCACACGCUGAAUUUGGUUUUACUUCUCGGUGAAACUGCUCUUAAUUGCUUGACGCUUCCAAGGUGCCGAAUUUCAUUCUUCUUUUUAUGGACGGGUAUUUAUGUCAUUUCCCAGUGGAUCGUCCAUGCAUUUGUUUCGAUUGGGUGGCCAUAUCCAUUUCUUGAUCUGUCAGCUCCUUAUUCUCCAUUAUGGUAUCUACUGAUGGGAUUGAUUCAUAUUCCAAGCUAUGGUAUUUUCAUGUUGAUCAUAAAACUGAAACAUAAACUGAUGACGAAGUGGUUCCCUCAGUCAUACCAGUGCUAGCAAGACUGACAAAUGUUGAAUCAUGAUUGGAUUCGCUUUGUUUGAAGUUGUGAAACCAAGCUUACGUUUUUGAUUGGAUCCGCUUUGUCUGAAGUUGUGAAAUCAAGCUUGCAUUUUGGGUAUGGUGGGGCUACUUUCUUAGCUUACUAUUUUGGUAAACUCGUGAGCUACAUAAAUUUAGGUUAAUGGAAUAUUUGUAUGUUGGGCUAGCUUGAACCUAGCUCAAGUGGUUUAGACACGUACUCUCUGACAACGAUUAAAGAUUAGAAUCCCUUCAAUUUUAAAUGAUGUUAAAAAUACACACACACGAGCAUGUGUAUGAUGCUCUACGUUUUUACAUUAGAUAUAUUGAUGUUUUUGUAGUUUUAGGUCUACCAAAUUUAAGUUUAUUUAAGGUUAAAAUA